UGGUGGAAGCCCGCAGCGAUACUGA
Molecule: small nuclear RNA, 25 nt
Filed under: Arabidopsis thaliana (thale cress)
Lineage: Eukaryota; Viridiplantae; Streptophyta; Magnoliopsida; Brassicales; Brassicaceae
Description: snRNA_09936
Source: RNAcentral